Non-coding RNA from Saimiri boliviensis boliviensis (Bolivian squirrel monkey), 1003 nucleotides. The record is from RefSeq and is a predicted model, not a curated record. Lineage: Eukaryota; Metazoa; Chordata; Mammalia; Primates; Cebidae.
AGCUGGGACUACAGGUGCCCACCACCAUGCCCAGGGCAGACACACAUCCCCACAGGCUUCCAGACACCCUUCAGCAGGAGGCGCCCCUCACAGUGAGAAUGAGACCAACAACCACGGGAGGAAGAAACUGACUGCCCAUGGCCUGAGCUACACACUGAGGAGGGUGGACAUGGGGGCUCCACGGUACCAGGAGGCAGCUGCUGGACCCCACCCCAGAAAGAACACCCAACUGCAGGGAAGGAACAACACCGGCCGCCUGGACUGGUUCUGACUCAUUUCAGCGAGGAGGAAGUUGGAGGCUUUGAACCCUUUCCUUCCGAAUGUCAGACACGUGUACGGGCUCCUGAGAACGCAUGCGUGUUUCCUAAGAAGCCGCUCUUCUGUGGACUAGAGGCCUGCGGGCUCCCGAGCUGCAGGGGACCCUAUCUCUCAGGAGGUGGGAGACCCUGGGUGUCGCUCACACAGGGUGAAGAUCACAGCAUUGGGGCCCGCGUCAAAGGUAUACGCCACCUGGAACCCAUGGCAGUGACCCUGCUGUAUGCGUGGUGCCUGGCCUUGUACCCACAACCCUCUGGCCUGCCUGGGGGCCCUGAGGUCUCCAAGAGCUCAGUCUGGGCCCUCAGGGCCACACUGGAGCAGAGCUGUGGCCCCAAGUGCCUGUUACUUAACACCUCUGCCUGUGAACCCAGGGAAAAGGCAGUGGGGCGGUGAGCCAAGCAAGCCAAAAAACGAAACCCAAGAACCCACAUUGUCGGUGAGCUUGGCACACAGCAGGGCAGAGCUUUCAGACAGAUUCCUGUGCACGCCGGUCUCAGGACCGCCUCCACAGCAGUACACGGCUAGACACGUGCUACAGCCCUCCCAGCCUGAGUCACCUUGGUGUCCCCGUGGUGGGCGUUGAAGCGGUGCACCAGGUGGAUGAUACGCCAGGAGACGUGGUUGAGGUAGGAGAUGGGCGGAAAUGUGUCAAGGCAGGUGGCGUGGAACUGGUUGCUGUCCUGCA